UUUCUCAGCACCUAACCAGAUGAU
This 24-nucleotide unclassified non-coding RNA is filed under the name Mus musculus (house mouse). Its description in RNAcentral is "oocyte_clustered_small_RNA7509". The record is from RNAcentral. Lineage: Eukaryota; Metazoa; Chordata; Mammalia; Rodentia; Muridae.